This 108-nucleotide ribosomal RNA is filed under the name Anaerohalosphaera lusitana. Lineage: Bacteria; Pseudomonadati; Planctomycetota; Phycisphaerae; Sedimentisphaerales; Anaerohalosphaeraceae. The record is from RNAcentral.
CCUGGUGACCAUACGGACGGGGAAACGCCUGAUCCCAUUCCGAACUCAGAAGCUAAGCCCGCCCGGCCGAUGAUAGUCCUUAUGGGUGAAAGUAGGUGAUCGCCAGGU